RNAcentral lists this ribosomal RNA (208 nucleotides) under uncultured bacterium. Its description in RNAcentral is "partial 16S ribosomal RNA". It matches the Rfam family "Bacterial small subunit ribosomal RNA", at positions 1293 to 1500 of the family's 1533-position model. The record is from RNAcentral.
UCGGAUUGCAGGCUGCAACCCGCCUGCAUGAAGUUGGAAUCACUAGUAAUCGCGGAUCAGCAUGCCGCGGUGAAUGCGUUCUCGGGCCUUGUACACACCGCCCGUCACACCAUGAGAGUCGGGAACACCCGAAGUCCGUAGCCUAACCGCAAGGGGGGCGCGGCCGAAGGUGGGCUCGAUAAUUGGGGUGAAGUCGUAACAAGGUAGC